Molecule: long non-coding RNA, 1185 nt
Organism: Formica exsecta
Lineage: Eukaryota; Metazoa; Arthropoda; Insecta; Hymenoptera; Formicidae
Exons: 2
Source: RefSeq, a predicted model, not a curated record
AGGCGGGGAGUCACCCCGAAUAAGUGACGAGUCCCUUUGCGAAAUUCGUCGAUAGAGGAAGAAACGUGAGUAUCGUUUCGCUCACCGGCCCCUCACGAUGAAACGCGGCGAUUCUCUUGGAACUUCUUACUUCGGGGAGUAAAGUCGAGACUCUAGGGUGCGCAAAGAGUAUCUUGAGGGCCGACAGAAGGCAUGGAGAAGGACAUCGAGUAGUCUUCUCCGCAGCUUGCACCAAGUAACCAGUAAAGAAACGACGAUCGAUCCCACCGGGCGGCAUCCGCCGCAGUUUUUGUCGAUCGCGUAAUUAACUCUUUCAUCACCUGCCGUCGUACAGCACCGAACCAUCUUCAUAAUCUCUCGAAGAACUUAUCAUUCGUCUCGCGUGAUCAUCGUACGAUGCAAAAGAAUUCAGACACUCAAUUUAAUUCGAUGCUGAAACGAGUGCGCGAAAUCGCGAGCAUUGAACUUAUGAACGAGCGCUGACCAGGCGCGAUCGACGACCGAGGAGACGGAGGAUAAUCGACCACGGUAAGAUAAUUAUCCUAUACAGGAUGAGGAAUCGGGGCUCCCUGAGGAACAUGCUGACCGAACGGUUCCUUGUCCUGGUCGCGCGAUCGACACACAGAGAUCGCUCGAUCGUCCUAUCACCCAUUAUCCAUAUCGACACACACGUAUAGGUGUAAUCGCGUUUUGUAGGCGUUAAGCUCCAUUAAAAGCGUAUAGACAGAUAAGGCGUAUAAAGCACAGUGCUGCCGCGGCUUUAGUGUACAAUAACAUACGAAUCGAGUAUACGUUUUCUAGUCUUCGAUAGAGACCCCCUGAUCGACAUCUCUCUCCUCUCUGUUUGUCCACCCUUAUUCCAAUGCCCCCCUUUUCUUUCCAUUCUCCCCCGCAUUCGCGUCUACGGUUUCGCGCUGGUCCUUUUUUACGACUUUGUAUUUCGAUGAUCAGGAGUACAGGACGCUCGAUUUUCUCGUUAUAUUUCGAUGUAUAACGAUAACCCGGAAGCAUUAUUCCGCGCCGGGCAUUGCGUUAGCUGAUGCGCGCGCUAUUGGCGCCAUAUGUACAUAAGUGUAUAUAUACAUAUGACUAUAUCGAUUGUACCGCCGAUGAAUUUGCCGAUUGUACCAUUUACGACUCUGUAUCGGAUCAAUAAAACGCAACGAAAACGUCCGCACGACGUGA